AUGACCUCCGACGCGUUCGGCGCCGGGGUCUAUGACUGGUGCGUGAAGAUCUACCCCGACGGCAAGAGUUCGUCCGACGCCGGCUGGGUCUCCGUCUACCUGCAGAUCCAGGCUAGCCGCGCCAACGACGACGGCUUGACUGUCAUGGCGCGAUUCAGCAUCUUCUUGCUCGGCCAGGACAGACAAGAGGUGCCGUCGUACAGCAGACGGUGGGCCAAGAUGCUCCCCUUCGCUCCUGAGGAAGAACAUGGGUAUCGCCGGUUCAUAGAGGUUGACGCCUUGAAGGCCUACCUGGAAGACGACGAUUGUUUCAGAGUCAGCUGCGAAAUCGUCGUCUACGACAUGUAUUCCGAACCCGCCGUCACCCCGCGGCCCGUCGUCGUCCCGCCGUCCGACCUGCAUCGGCAGCUCCUUGCCCUCCUCGGGAGCGGACGGGGAGGGGACGUGACGUUCUCGGUCGGCGGUAGCUGUUCCCGGCGCACAAGUACAUGGUCGCCGCUCGGUCCCCGGUCUUCAUGGCGGAGCUCUUUGGCCCGAUGA
RNAcentral lists this ribosomal RNA (540 nucleotides) under Triticum aestivum (bread wheat). RNAcentral describes it as "partial small subunit ribosomal RNA". The record is from RNAcentral. Lineage: Eukaryota; Viridiplantae; Streptophyta; Magnoliopsida; Poales; Poaceae.